GAAUCUUAUGCAGCUAUUGUAUCUGGAAUCGAUCUCUUCUUUGAGAUUUUUAGAAUUGGUAAAAGAACAAGAAAGCUUUAGAUGUGCUGCGUAGAGCUGCAACUAAAGAUGGUGGUCAUUGCUUUGGAUGCUAAAUGAUGUGGAGAAGAAUCAAUUUCCUUCGGAUUGUUCUUGAAAAGGGUUUAGUAGUCUGUUUUUGCGGAUGCUGAUGUGAUGUGGUUCAUGAACUAAUUUGCUUCUCAAUGCUUUCAAUAUUUAAUGCUUUCUUAUGAUUUCUUUGUUGAGUUGCAUUUGACUGAGAACUCUCGUGAGAUGCUUCACAUACUUACAAAGUCUCAGUCUGCGCGCAUGGAAUGGUAUUGUAUAUCAGAAGACCAUUCAAUAUGGAGAUGUUGUAGUAAUUGUCGCGUAGGCUUCUUUCUUAUGCUUGUGUCUUUUCUAUAUUGUUGUGCAAUCUGCUAGUUUUCCAGUAUAUGGCAAUUAUAAUAUUGUAUAGUUAGGUAUUAGCAUGAGGAAUUCAGCUGACAAUCGGUUGAUUAAGGUAUUUAUCAAUGGGAUGGAGCCCAUCACAACAAAUAUGAUAUGACUCAAAAUUUGUUGUCCUUAUUGUCUCUCUCUUCUUUCUGGAAUAUUUUUGUAUGCCUAUGUUGAUUUUUAAAUCUCCCAUAAUACUCAUUUUGUUGCAGGUGAAAAAGUUUUAGCAAGCACAAAGUUGCAGCUCUUCAAUGGAGAUUAUUAAUUUAGAAAUGCCAAAAGAUAGAUUUGCUAGAUAUAUGUAUAAUUGUUCAGUUAUAUUCAUUGUAAAACAGAUUUCUUUUUGGGCGGCAAUUGAUUUUAUAUAUAAU
Non-coding RNA from Arabidopsis thaliana (thale cress), 845 nucleotides. Lineage: Eukaryota; Viridiplantae; Streptophyta; Magnoliopsida; Brassicales; Brassicaceae. The record is from RefSeq.